This 4136-nucleotide long non-coding RNA is filed under the name Arachis ipaensis. Its description in RNAcentral is "long non-coding RNA (AIPA_LNC000278)". Lineage: Eukaryota; Viridiplantae; Streptophyta; Magnoliopsida; Fabales; Fabaceae. The record is from RNAcentral.
GGUGAUAUCACUCAACAAUUUCUUUCAGGGUAUGGUAAGGCUAAAUCCCUGCUUGUAGGGGAAUGUCAACCACCAUGCUUGGACCUUCUCUCGGAGAUCAGCCCGGUCAACAUUAAGGAUGGGAAUCUUGUGGCCAAUGCAACCUUAGAGGCAGUAAGGUUGGCAUUGAAGGAGAUGAACUUGCAGGAGUCCAAACCACCACAAUAACAUUACCAUAGAGAAAAACUAUGUAAGCUUUAGGAAUCAACUUUUUUUUUUUUUCUUUUAAACUAAAUAAGCUUUAGGAACUAAUUACUCUUGUUCAAAACUAUUCCUUCAAAAUUUAUUGUUUCUAUCUACACAAUUUUUAUGAUGUACUGCAAGGUCCAUUGAUGAGUUCUGCUUUGUUCACUGCGGUUUUCUUACUUAACCAGGUUGAAGGUUCACUAAUCAUUUUGUAUUGUUGGUAAACUAUUCAUGAUUAAAUUAGUUUGAUGUCAUCUGGUAUAAAUUUCUUUUCUGAUGAUAUGUGUUUCUAUAAUAACUUAGAUAAUCCCAAAUUCAAAGUAAUAAAACAAAAAAAUAAUGAAUUUCUUCUCUGGUAUUGAAUAAUAAACAGUCACAUGAGGCUGAGAAGGCAUCUGCCUCUUCUAAUUUUUUGGGCUUCACCACUUUGUAUUUUGUAAAAACUUUGCCUGUGUCAACAUUUUUUCUAUGAAGGAGAUGAUGAUCAUGAGAUUAAUAAUGAUAUUGAUGUUACGUGGGAUCAAGAUUAUUCAUCCUGCUUUGUUCAAACCAUUUUUUUUUUUUUUGCUUUAAUUCAUUUCAGAAAAUUGUUCGGUUCAUAGUUUAGUCUUUAUGUAUAAUUGACAUGAGUUUCUUUCUUUUGUUGGCUUUUCAUUAGAAUAGUUAUUAACUACAUAUUUUCUUCUUUUACUCUUAUUAUUUAUUAUGUUUGUAAAGACUUACAUUUUAAGUUUUAACUUUUAACACAUGUUUUUAAUUUUAUUUAUAUAAUUUUAUAUAUUUUUUAAUUAUGAUCUUAACUAACGCUACUUUCCUGCCUGUGAUACUACACAGUCCUAACAACCAGAAAGCAUUUCAAAUUCAAGAUAAACAAUACUGACGUAAAUAACAAUACUGCCUAUUAUUAUUAGCUCUACGUUAAAACUCAAAUUUAGUUUACUAACAAAUGACCCAUGUUUUUUAUUAAUCUAAUAAAAGAAAAAUAUAUAUUCCAAAAUUUGCUUAUUGUUUUAGAUUUGAAAUUUGAAAUAAUCACAUACAUAGUGGUUCCAAUUUUCAUCGAUUUUCAACUUCCUGAUCAUAAACUGAAUCGCCGUCACCAUGGCCAAAAGCAACGACAUCACCAUGGCCACGAGCAAGGAGGAUGUGGGAUUGCUGAACCCGAACCCGAACCCGGACAAGAUGCUAUCAAUCCCACUGAAGAAGAGUGAUCCGGUGGAGCUGUACCAGCCGUUACGCAAGUUGGUAGCAACAAAAUACUCAGAGAGCGAUGCAGAGAAAGUUGAAAGCGUUCUGGAAACCCUAAACAAAUGUCGCAGUGACAUGGUGGAGCGAGGGGACCUCUCCCUUCCCAUGCAACGUGAUUGCCUCAUCCACUACUUCAAAUGCCUCUGCAUGGUUGAGCCACUCUUCACCGCUGACUCCGACGACUCCGACGGCAUCAUGUUUUUCUGGUACGACGCCUUCGACCCUGACUAUAUAUGUGUGGAUGGAGUCUCCUCCCAUAAGACUAUCCAAUUGGAGAAGGCUGCUGUUCUCUACAACCUUGGCGCCAUAUACAGCCAGAUUGGAGCCUCUUGCGACCGCACCACCGCCCUUGGCCGUCACCUUGCAAUGGAUGCCUUCAAUGCCGCCGCCAAAUUCUUCUCGGAACUCUGGAAGGUUUUCGCCAAGGACAUCUCCGCCACCUUCGACUUGACUCUCGUCUUCACCGAGACGCUGCACCAGCUGUUCUCCGCUCAGGCUUCGGAGCUCAAAUUACAGCAACAACUCGACGACGACAAAAGCAACAACUACGCCAGUGCCGCUUUACAAAAACAUCGAUGUGCCCAUUUGUUUAAAUCGGUCUGUCUUGACUCUUCACACUUACUGAUUUUUCAUUUAUUUUUUCAUUUUGGAUUUUCAAUAGGAUGAUGUUGAUGAUGAAUUGAUGAUAAUGAUAUGACGUAGGUUUCUAAGCAUUAUUGGAGAGCAUAUGAUCUGAUACUAAGUGAUUCGGCUGCAACCAAACAUGUCUGCUUAUUUGACGAAACUUGGAUACCUCAUCUUCAUCAGAAGCAGAAAUUCUUUCGGAAAGAGGCUCGUCAGAGGAAAUCAUUCAUCCUACCCGAACCCAAGCGACCUAAAACAUCCUCAUCGGUCCAAUCUUGUCCUCUUGAUCAUGAUGCAGAAUCCAUCACGGAAAUAUUAGUUAGAGGGAUUUGCAUGCACUCGGACCUGUGGACACCCAAGCAACAACUAAUAUACCUUGACCUCCUCCUCUCCGAGUACAGCCCUUUCAAGAUUAUGGAUGGUGGAAAGCUGCUGGCUAACCCAUGGGACAUGCCUCCUCCUUAUCCAACAAAUUUUUCAGUCCUCUCUUCUUCCUCUUCGUCUUCGUCACGUCUUAUGGCAUUCCCUUUGAAGAAAUGUGAGCCCUUGGACCUCUACGAGUCCCUGCGCAAUUACUUUGUCCUCAAAUACUCCGAGAGCGAGGCAAACAGAGUAGAAGGCUUUUUGAAAACGGUAGACAAGUUGCGCAGUGAAAUGCAGCGUGAUGACCUGUCUCUACCCGUUCGCCGCAACUGCCUCAUCCAAUAUUUGAAAUGCAUUUGCAUGAUUGAGCCUUUGUUCCCCAUGACUACCUCACCCAAUCCACCUAUCUUUGUUUGGUACAAUGCAUUCAACUCACAACAGGACUCUUCUCAGCACAACAUCCAUUUCGAGAAGGCCUCUGUUCUCUUCAACCUGGGAGCCCUCUCCACCCAAGUUGCUCUCUCCUGCGAUCUCACCACCAUCCAAGGCCAUCUCCUUGCCAAGGACGCCUUAAAUGAUGCUUCGCAUUGGUUCUUGAAACUGUCGCAUGAGGCUGAGAAGGCAUCUGCCACCAUUGAAUUGUCAGUAAACUGUGCCAAGAUGCUGCGUGAGAUAAUAUCCGCUCAGAUUGCCGACUUGGACUGGAAUUUUCCUCAUUCCUGUUCUGUUCGAUCAUCAUCAUCUCCGGUAGGCGAUAAUAUGAACUAGCACAUGAAUCUAAAUUUAGUUCUUAAAAUUUCAAUUGUCUCUAUUUAGUCCCUAAUUAUCUCUAUCGAAUUUUCAAACUUUACUAUUGAACUCAUUAGUCCUUGAAACAAUGGAAGCUCCUCAAGAUGAAAAAGGGUGUGAACAAUGAACAGUGUUCUGGAUGAAAGGUACCCAUGGAAGCUCCUUGAUUGAUUUGUUCUUUGUUCAAGCCCAUGGUACCCAUGCAUUGAUUGAACUACACUGGUACUGCAGGAAAAAAUCCGUAAUCUCCUGCCUUGACACUGCCGAUACCAAAUACCAACCAAUGUUUAGUCCCUUCUUGAGUGUUUCAAUUGCUGUUCCACAGCAUGAAUGUAAUUUAAAUAUGAUAUUUUACAAAAUUGUCAUUUUGAACACUGAUUUUCGAUGCAGAGACUGUGAAAAUUGUCCCAACCACUAAUCUAAGUCACGUUCGUAAAGUUUGGGGACUAAAUAAAAGGAAUUUAAACUUCACAAACUAAAUUAAUUCUGUCUUGUAUAUAUCAUCAUCUAGCUCUUCACAAUUUAACUUGAUUUGUUAAAUUGUGUGAUUGGGAUGAUGCAGGCUCCUCUGCUUUAUCGGAAAGCUUAUGAUCUGUCGACACUUGAGCCUUUAGCUGAGAAUCUUGUUCAUUCCUCGAUACCUCAAUAUCUGAAGAUGAAAACCUGCCCUGUUGUAACUGAUCCUGGUGAUAUCACUCAACAAUUUCUUUCAGGGUAUGGUAAGGCUAAAUCCCUGCUUGUAGAGGAAUGUCAACCACCAUGCUUGGGCCUUCUCUCGGAGAUCAGCCCGGUCAACAUUAAGGAUGGGAAUCUUGUGGCCAAUGCAACCUUAGAGGCAGUAAGGUUGGCAUUGAAGGAGAUGAACUUGCAGGAGUCCAAACCACCAC